Molecule: ribosomal RNA, 384 nt
Filed under: uncultured bacterium
Lineage: Bacteria
Description: bacterial SSU rRNA
Rfam family: Bacterial small subunit ribosomal RNA
Source: RNAcentral
CGGUAAUACGGAGGGGGUUAGCGUUGUUCGGAAUUACUGGGCGUAAAGCGCGCGUAGGCGGACAUUUAAGUCAGAGGUGAAAUCCCGGGGCUCAACCCCGGAACGGCCUUUGAUACUGGGUGUCUUGAGUUCGAGAGAGGUGAGUGGAAUUCCGAGUGUAGAGGUGAAAUUCGUAGAUAUUCGGAGGAACACCAGUGGCGAAGGCGGCUCACUGGCUCGAUACUGACGCUGAGGUGCGAAAGUGUGGGGAGCAAACAGGAUUAGAUACCCUGGUAGUCCACACCGUAAACGAUGAAUGCCAGUCGUCGGGUAGCAUGCUAUUCGGUGACACACCUAACGGAUUAAGCAUUCCGCCUGGGGAGUACGGCCGCAAGGUUAAAACUC